GCUGGGUGUGGUGACGCCCACCUGUAGUCCCAGCUACUGGGGAGGCUGAGGUGGGAGGAUCACUUGAACCCAGGAGUUUGAGGCUGCAGUGAGCUGUGAUGGAGCCACUGCACUCUAGCCUGGGUGCCAGAUUGGGAUGCUGUCUUUA
RNAcentral lists this non-coding RNA (148 nucleotides) under Homo sapiens (human). The record is from Rfam by way of RNAcentral. Lineage: Eukaryota; Metazoa; Chordata; Mammalia; Primates; Hominidae.